Small nuclear RNA from Microtus oregoni (creeping vole), 158 nucleotides. RefSeq annotates it as U1 spliceosomal RNA. The transcript has a single exon. The record is from RefSeq and is a predicted model, not a curated record. NCBI's taxonomy places the organism in Eukaryota, Metazoa, Chordata, Mammalia, Rodentia, Cricetidae.
AUGCUCACCUGGCAGCUGAGAUACCAUGGUCCAGAAGGUGGUUUUCCCAGGGUGACUCUUAUCAUAUUCCAGUUAUGCCAAGUUCUGUAACUUCCCCAAACACAAAACAUCUGACUGUAAUUUGUGGUACUGGGGAUUUGGGUUCAUGCUCUUCCUUC